This 21410-nucleotide long non-coding RNA is filed under the name Pelobates cultripes (western spadefoot toad). The record is from RNAcentral. Lineage: Eukaryota; Metazoa; Chordata; Amphibia; Anura; Pelobatidae.
CAUGUCCUUCCUCAAACUGUGAGUAAUUGUUUUAGGGGUAUUCCCUACAAUUCAAAAUUUGCUAAAAGCAAACAAAAAGAAAUCACCAAAAAAUCCACAGAAUGUGUACAUGCUUAGUUAGUAUUUAAAUUGCUAUAAUUUGUGUAGAUAUCUAAUAUUUUGAAUGUUUAAAAAAAAUAAAAAAAAAUUGUUUAUUUAAAGACAGCCAGUUGGUUUGAAUUGACUUGGCACAAUUGGGUUAAAUAUGGAAUCUGCCCCCAAAUUGAAUUUAUUUAAUACCAAAGAGAACAUUUUGGGCCUGUAUGUGAAUUAUCCCUAAAUUGUGCAGGUUGAGAGCUCAGUGAAUUAUCUACAAGGAGAAAAUCUUGGCAACAAUUCCGAAUGAGAGAGAAGAUUUUCAGAAUGAAUCGAGAGGAAUUCAGAAUAAAUAUUUAUAGCUUUAGAAGGAUUGCAAUGUUGGCAGUUUUAUUGUAGCACCACCAGGAUUUUCUGUGGAAAAUAGGAUAAACUCUCUGUCUUGCAGAUAAUCUGAUAAAGUCAGGACUGCCUCAAACAGGCCAGGGUCAGCUCAGUAUAAAAAUGAAAAACAAUGUACUGUUCCAGUUUAUUGGCUCAAAAAAAACAUAAAAAUGGGAAUUCUGAUGCACCAAAAGACCACCCUCUCCACUGCAGACAUCAUAAUUGGGGGGUGGCUGUUUUACUUCCUUACUAUCUGUACAAGUGUUUGUACUGCAUUAUUAAUCCCAUUAGUUCACAUAAAUCUAGUGUUUUAUUUUUUUUUAAGAUAAUCAAGAGGCUACAAGUGUGUAGUAUUUAUAUAUACACACAUUUAUAUUUGCAUCACGGCUUCUUUAAUUCAAUAGUUUAUAUAAAUAGUGCCUAAAAAAAUAAUCUGAAAAUGAAUGAGAAUUACACCUGUGAGAAAUUGCUAGCUUUCAGAUUGAUUUCUGUGGAAGCUGAAUCCCAUAAACCUCUGUAGUUCAUCACUCAAAAGGAGUUCCAUUCAUCAUAAAAUAUGAAUGGAGCUACUGCCAAAGCUGAGAGUGGCAACAUUGCUGCGGAGGUGGUCACUGUAGGAACCUAUAGUGCCACGAAAACUGCUUUGUUUUCCUCGCACUAUAGUAUCCCUUUAACGAUGUGCAGGGAAUUCCAUGCACCAUUUGCUGCAUAGGGAGAGUAGACUGUGACAGUUUGGACUGUCCCUUUAAAGUAAGUUCCUGAAUUGGACAUAACUUUCCAGUACUGUGUGAGAUCCUUACAAUGUAAUUGUUUCCCUUUGACACAUAAGAAAUUAAUCAACUCCUUGCCAUUGUGUGUCGUCAUAUAAUAAUACAAUAAAUCGUUUGUUCUGUGUCAGAUUACAGUUUUAACUGAAAACUAAUAACUGCUUUUUGUUGUCUAUGGAUCAAUAAAUCUCAUAAAAGGUUAGUUACUUGGUGAUACAGUUGCAACAAACACACGCAUCGCUUACAUGUGCAGAAUAAGAAGCAAACCACACCUGCUUUUCAAUAUCUGGCCCCAUACUGUGUUAAAACGGUGCCCUCCACUCCCCCCCCUCUAAACUCUUAACCGGGCUUGCGCUAACUGUAAUGCCAACCUAGAGCAAGGAAGAAAUGAUGAUGCCAUUAAAAUGACAUAUUUAACGUGGUAAGCAUCAUCAAAAUGAGGCUACCAUAAAUAUACACUAUAUGGACAUAAGUAAUGGGACACCUGACCAUGACACCAACAGGUAUGUAAUUGGUCCCCUCCUUUGCAGUUAUAACAGCUUCCGCUCCUCUGGGAAGGCUUUCCACAAGAUAUUGGGGUGUUUCUGUGGGAAUUUUUCCUAUUCAUCCAGUAGAGAAUUUGUGAGGUCAUGCACUGAUGUUGAACGAGAAGGUCUGGCUCGUAAUAUCCGUCCCAGUUCAUCCCAAAGGUGUUUGAUAGGGUUGAGGUAAGGGCUCUGUGGUGGCCAGUUAAGUUCAUCCAUACCAAACUCAUCCAACCAGGUAUUUCUGGACCUUGCUUUGUUCACUGGGGCAGAGCCAUGCUGGAAUAGAAAAGGGCCUCUUCCAAACUAUUCCCACAAAGCUAGACGCAUAGCAUUGUCCAAAAUGUCGUAGUAUGCUAAAACAUUAAGAUUUCCCUUCACUGGUAGUAAGAGGCCUAGCUCAACCCCUGACAAACAGCCCCAUACUAUUAUCCCUCUUCCACCAAGCUUUACAGUUGGCAAAAUGCAGUCAAGCAGGUAACAUUAUCGUGGCAUCUGUCAAACCCAGACUCGCCCAUCAGACCACCAAAUAGAGAAGCGUGAUUUGUUACUCCAUGGAACACGUUUCCACUGCUCCACAGUCCAGUGGCUGCGUGCUUCACACCUCUUGAUCCAACGCUUGGCAUUGUACUUGGUGAUGUGAGGCUUGCAUGCAGCUGCUCAGCCAUGGAAACCCAUUCUGUGGAGCGCCCAUGCACAGUUUUCUUGCUGAUAUUAACGUUAGUGGAAGUUUGGAACUUUCAGCUAUGGAAUCAGCAGACCGUUGGUGACUUUUACGCACAAUGCGCCUAAGCACUCGGUGAUCCCGUCCUAUCACUUUUCAUGGUUUCCCAUUUGUGGCUGAGUUGCUGUUGUAACUAAACACUUUCACUUUCCAAUAAUACCACUUACAGUUGACAAUGGAAUAUCGAGCAAACUAGAUAUAUUUACAAACUGACUUAUUGCAAUGGUUGUAUCCUAUCACAGUGCUACGCUUGAAUUCACUGAGCUCUUUAAAUGACCCAUUUUCCACAAAAGUUUGUAAAUGCAGACUGCAACGCUUGGUGCUUCAUUUUAUACACCUCUGGCAACUGGUUUGAUUAUAAGACCUGAAUUCAAUAUUUAAGAGAUGUGUCCCAAUAAGUUUGUCCAUAUAGUAUAUGUGUAUAAAACAGAGAUGACAAACGGCACUUGUCUCCUAACAUCCUCAAAGAAAAAUAAAAGAAAUCCAGAUCUUGUUGAAGAUGGCCUUACAUCAGCUGUGUCAAGGUGUGUGGCAGAGGAUUCGUAAACCUCUUAGUGUAAAGCCAACCAUGAUAAAUAGUGUUGGAUUAUUAGGAACACACAGGAAUUCUUGGAUUGUCUAGUUAUGGACCAAAUCCAGCCUAUGGGUUUCCAGUUUUUGUGGGUGGUGAAAUAAACAUGUGACGUCCUGAUAAAGUAAACCUAAACGCACUGCUGUCACGGUCUUUAAAUCGCUUUCAAUAAUUAAUAUUGUCUCCACGUUCAUGAAUCUGUGCAUUACUAACAGAAUCCCACUGUAUUGGAUGUUUUAUAAAGUUUCUUAUUUAUGUGUGUAUAUAUUGUACUAAGACUUGGUUGCAAGCAAAAAGCUGUACAGAAGAUUGAGGAAAAUAGUUUUUUGCUUAUAGAUAAACAUCAUUUUUUUAGUGUGCCAAUUUGGAAGUUUUUUAAGGAAAUUAUGGAACAGAGAUUGUCCAUUUGUUUAUGUCAUUUCACUGUUGUGGAAAAGAAAAUCCAUUAAAUUUCUCUAAUUCACAGCAGCCUUAGUGCCGAUGGUUGACUGAGCUUGUUGGGAGCAGUAUCUGCAGUAGCUAUAGUGGCAAAAUAAUUCCACAGCAGGUGGAGUGGGUACAUACUCUGGCUGGCUGAAACUGGGUGUUGUGUCCCGCAACGGCUGUAAUCCAUGGGAUCUAAGGGCGUUGUGUGCCUGUGUCAGAAUCUGGCUGAAUGUUCUGAGAGUUAUCAUCACACAGCAGUUAGAAUUUCAAUGGUUGGCUUUAUAGAACGGCCUUAAUUCAGUUGACUAGAAAGUUCAGUUGGAUGGAGUUUAGUCUGAAUAUAUUGCUGCCUGUAUUGUUCUGAGACUGAAUGUUUAAAGAGUGAUGGCUCUUUCUGUGGGGCGACAUGUAAGGUUGGAGCACAAUGGAUGAAAAGCUUGUUUCUAAGGAGACCAAAAAACGGCUUAAGAGAACUGGUGCUCAUUAAAGAUUCUUCUUGAAGUUCGAGAGCAGCUGGGGUUGCUGUGAACAGCCAGACCCCGGUCCCUCUCUGCCCUUCAGCUGACACCUGUCGUUUCAUAUCAUUUCUGAGACAAAUCUUGAGCUUUCUGAACUUUCUGUACUGUAGAUUAUUGCUAUUAAUUUGUAAGAUUUCAAAUUGUGGGUUGUGCCCUUCCAAUUACACUCACAGGGACGGUGGCAGUAAAUGACCAACUGCUGUGUGAGACUAACAAAGCUAUAAGCUAAGUUCUAUAUUGAAUGCUAUUAUCUUCAUUGUAUCUUUUAAUGUGGACAAGACAUGUGUGGAUGACGGGGCUAGCUUUUCGAGGAAGUUACUCAUAAUACAGUAAUAUUGUUCAUCGUCCAGAGUUUCUCAUAGACCGCACCCCUCUCCAAUAUGAAUAUAUUCUUUCCACUUCUUCUGGGAUAGAAUCCAGUGAAAUCCUCAUUUCAUUGGUAACAAAAACCCAACACUGCUGGCGCCUGGUUAAAUGAAAACCUGUGCUCAUUUUUUAUUAAAAAGACAGACCAGUCCUUGCACUCAGAUUAACCCUGCAAAACUUUGCAAAACUUUUGCUCAACAUUCAGUGCCGGGUGCUGAAAUAGCCACAGCCAAAAUAUACAAAAAUUAUAUUAAACAUGGGCUAGCACUCACGGUCUUGUAGUAAAAAGUAGAAAUCUUUAUUUGAGUUAUUCCAUAAAAUCGACAUUUCAGCCCACGUCCGGGGCUUUCUUCAGGAUCAUUUUUUAUUAUAUAUGUAAAUUUAUUAUAUGUAUUCAUUUUUAACAGAUACAAAUAUAUGUAAAUACCUUUUUAGAGUGCAUUUCCUGACGUUCUCUUGCUUUAUGGUGGCACGGCCUGAGCGCAAAAUAAAAUUUAGUGAACUCUCCUCAAAACCCCACACCUUGUCCAUCACAAAUUCCAUCCCGUAACAACUGCAAUAUAGCCCUCUCAACUCUUACAGAUACAUACAUAAAGACACACACUCACAUAUACAUACAUAAAGACACACACUCACACUUACAUACAUAAAGACACACACUCACAGCUGGCUACUUACAGGCAUACAUAAAGACAUAGAUACACAGGUGCUGCUAGGCACAUACAGGCAUACAUACGCAUAUAAAGACACAGUCAAACACAGAAAGGCAUACAUUGACACAGACACUCGCAGACAAGCAUAUACAGACAUGCAUAGACACAAAUACAUGCAGACAUAAUGCACACACAGACAGGAUUAUGUAGAAAACCACAGACAAAGGUACGCAUAGACAGGUUGCUCUUCCUUGAGGUCUCCUUGUUCAGUCUCGUCCGGGAGCAGCCCAGUGAUAGAGAUGGAGGACAUGGUUAGAGUAUCACAUUUUCACUGCGCUGCGAAAUAUGUUGGUGCUAUAUACAUACUAAUAAUAAUCUCUAUCUGAUGUGCUAGUGUGACGCUUCUGUAACUGGCGCGAUUUAACGUAGAGACCAGGAGGGAGAGCAGCAUGGAGAUAAACUAAUCACAUGUAUUUGUGGCACUGCAUCUUCCCCACCACACCUGAGAUCUGGGGCUACGGAGACCUCAUUCAUAGCUCUUACCCCCCACAGCAACAUGGCCGGUGGCUGCCAUUUUAAGUCCUUCUUGAUGAGAAGCAUUGUUUAUCUGACAUGCACCUACUGAAAAUAGUGUAUGAUCAUGACAUCAUGCGCAGGCGGUGGGAAUCUCAAAAAUUUGAUAUACUAAAGAUGGCCGCCCCACACAGAGCAGGGGUAAGCCAGGAGAUACAAUGUAAUGGGAUAUACUAAAGAUGGCCGCCCCACACAGAGCAGGGGUAAGCCAGGAGAUGCAAUGUAAUGGGAUAUACUAAAGAUGGCCCACACACAGAGCAGGGGUAAGCCAGGAGAUACACUGUAAUGGGAUAUACUAAAGAUGGCCCCCAUACAGAGCAGGGGUAAGCCAGGAGAUACAAUGUAAUGGGAUAUACUAAAGAUGGCCGCCCCACACGGAGCAGGGGUAAGCCAGGAGAUACACUGUAAUGGGAUAUACUAAAGAUGGCCGCCCCACACAGAGCAGGUGUAAGCCAGGAGAUACACUGUAAUGUGAUAUACUAAAGAUGGCUGCCCCACACAGAGCAGGGGUAAGCCAGGAGAUACAAUGUAAUGGGAUAUACUAAAGAUGGCCCCCACACAGAGCAGGGGUAAGCCAGGAGAUACACUGUAAUGAGAUAUACUAAAGAUGGCCCCCAUACAGAGCAGGGGUAAGCCAGGAGAUACAAUGUAAUGGGAUAUACUAAAGAUGGCCGCCCCACACAGAGCAGGUGUAAGCCAGGAGAUACAAUGUAAUGUGAUAUACUAAAGAUGGCCGCCCAACAGAGCAGGGGGUAAGCCAGGAGAUACAAUGUAAUGGUAUCUACUAAAGAUGGCUGCCCCACACAGAGCCGGGGUAAGCCAGGAGAUACACUGUAAUGAGAUAUACUAAAGAUGGCUGCCCCAUACAGAGCAGGGGUAAGCCAGGAGAUACAAUGUAAUGGGAUAUACUAAAGAUGGCCGCCCCACACAGAGCAGGUGUAAGCCAGGAGAUACAAUGUAAUGUGAUAUACUAAAGAUGGCCGCCCAACAGAGCAGGGGGUAAGCCAGGAGAUACAAUGUAAUGAGAUAUACUAAAGAUGGCAGCCACACAGAGCAGGAGUAAGCCAGGAGAUACAAUAUAAUGAGAUAUACUAAAGAUGGCUGCCCCACACAGAGCAGGGGUAAGCCAGGAAAUACAAUGUAAUGGGAUAUACUAAAGAUGGCCACCCCACACAGAGCAGGGGUAAGCCAGGAGAUACACUGUAAUGAGAUAUACUAAAGAUGGCAGCCACACAGAGCAGGAGUAAGCCAGGAGAUACAAUAUAAUGAGAUAUACUAAAGAUGGCUGCCCCACACAGAGCAGGGGUAAGCCAGGAGAUACACUGUAAUGGGAUAUACUAAAGAUGGCCACCACACAGAGCAGGGGUAAGCCAGGAGAUACAAUGUAAUGACAUAUACUAAAGAUGGCCCCCACACAGAGCAGGGGUAAGCCAGGAGAUACAAUGUAAUGGGAUAUACUAAAGAUGGCCCCCACACAGAGCAGGGGUAAGCCAGGAGAUACACUGUAAUGAGAUAUACUAAAGAUGGCCCCCAUACAGAGCAGGGGUAAGCCAGGAGAUACAAUGUAAUGGGAUAUACUAAAGAUGGCCGCCCCACACAGAGCAGGUGUAAGCCAGGAGAUACAAUGUAAUGUGAUAUACUAAAGAUGGCCGCCCAACAGAGCAGGGGGUAAGCCAGGAGAUACAAUGUAAUGAGAUAUACUAAAGAUGGCAGCCACACAGAGCAGGAGUAAGCCAGGAGAUACAAUAUAAUGAGAUAUACUAAAGAUGGCUGCCCCACACAGAGCAGGGGUAAGCCAGGAAAUACAAUGUAAUGGGAUAUACUAAAGAUGGCCACCCCACACAGAGCAGGGGUAAGCCAGGAGAUACACUGUAAUGAGAUAUACUAAAGAUGGCAGCCACACAGAGCAGGAGUAAGCCAGGAGAUACAAUAUAAUGAGAUAUACUAAAGAUGGCUGCCCCACACAGAGCAGGGGUAAGCCAGGAGAUACACUGUAAUGGGAUAUACUAAAGAUGGCCACCACACAGAGCAGGGGUAAGCCAGGAGAUACAAUGUAAUGACAUAUACUAAAGAUGGCCCCCACACAGAGCAGGGGUAAGCCAGGAGAUACAAUGUAAUGGGAUAUACUAAAGAUGGCCCCCACACAGAGCAGGGGUAAGCCAGGAGAUACAAUGUAAUGGGAUAUACUAAAGAUGGCCACCACACAGAGCAGGGGUAAGCCAGGAGAUACACUGUAAUGGGAUAUACUAAAGAUGGCUGCCCCAUACAGAGCAGGGGUAAGCCAGGAGAUACACUGUAAUGGGAUAUACUAAAGAUGGCCGCCACGCACAGAGCAGGGGUAAGCCAGGAGAUACACUGUAAUGGGAUAUAUUAAAGAUGGCCACCACACAGAGCAGGGGUAAGCCAGGAGAUACACUGUAAUGGGAUAUACUAAAGAUGGCUACCACACAGAGCAGGGGUAAGCCAGGAAAUACAAUGCAAUGGGAUAUACUAAAGAUGGCCGCCCCACACAGAGCAGGGGUAAGCCAUGAGAUACAGUGUAAUGGGAUAUACUAAAGAUGGCUGCCCCACACAGAGCAGAGGUAAGCCAGGAGAUACAAUGUAAUUGGAUAUACUAAAGAUGGCCCCCAUACAGAGCAGGGGUAAGCCAGGAGAUACACUGUAAUGGGAUAUACUAAAGAUGGCCGCCACGCACAGAGCAGGGGUAAAGCCAGGAGAUACACUGUAAUGGGAUAUACUAAAGAUGGCCCCCAUACAGAGCAGGGGUAAGCCAGGAGAUACACUGUAAUGGGAUAUACUAAAGAUGGCCGCCACGCACAGAGCAGGGGUAAGCCAGGAGAUACACUGUAAUGUGAUAUACUAAAGAUGGCCCCCACACAGAGCAGGGGUAAGCCAGGAAAUACAAUGCAAUGGGAUAUACUAAAGAUGGCCGCCCCACACAGAGCAGGGGUAAGCCAGGAGAUACAAUGUAAUGGGAUAUACUUAAGAUGGCUGCCCCACACAGAGCAGGGGUAAGCCAGGAGAUACAAUGUAAUGGGAUAUACUAAAGAUGGCCACCACACAGAGCAGGGGUAAGCCAGGAGAUACAAUGUAAUGGGAUAUACUGAAGAUAGCCGCCACACACAGAGCAGGGGUAAGCCAGGAGAUACACUGUAAUGGGAUAUACUAAAGAUGGCCACCACACAGAGCAGGGGUAAGCCAGGAGAUACACUGUAAUGGGACAUACUAAAGAUGGCCACCACACAGAGCAGGGGUAAGUCAGGAGAUACAAUGUAAUGGGAUAUACUAAAGAUGGCCCCCACACAGAGCAGGGGUAAGCCAGGAGAUACACUGUAAUGGGAUAUACUAAAGAUGGCUGCCCCACACAGAUCAGGGGUAAGCCAGGAGAUACACUGUAAUGGGAUAUACUAAAGAUGGCCGCCACACAGAGCAGGGGUAAGCCAGGAGAUACAAUGUAAUGGGAUAUACUAAAGAUGGCCGCCCCACACAGAUCAGGGGUAAGCCAGGAGAUACACUGUAAUGGGAUAUACUAAAGAUGGCCCCCAUACAGAGCAGGGGUAAGCCAGGAGAUACACUGUAAUGAGAUAUACUAAAGAUGGCUGCCCCACACAGAGCAGGGGUAAGCCAGGAGAUACACUGUAAUGUGAUAUACUAAAGAUGGCCCCCACACAGAGCAGAGGUAAGCCAGGAGAUACACUGUAAUGGGAUAUACUAAAGAUGGCCCCCAUACAGAGCAGAGGUAAGCCAGGAGAUACACUGUAAUGGGAUAUACUAAAGAUGGCCGGCACACACAGAGCAGGGGUAAGUCGGGAGAUACACUGUAAUAAGAUAUAAAGGGUAUGUAUAUAUUACAAAAUAAUACGCAACAAGACUAUUAGAGUUAUUCAUUAAACUGAGAAUUUCAGGUCAAAAUAAGCCAAAAUAGAAAAAUUCACUAAGUCCGCUAUGCUUCCAGCUGGGCAAUUUUUGGCCUAAAAUUUUAAAUUCUCUUUGAAUUCACUUAAAAUGUUCACUUCAGUAAAUAACCCCAUAUAUUAAAUGUAAUCUUCUAUUUUCAGUAAUAUUUAAAAAAAAGUGUCAUUAGAAUUUGUGACCUAAACUGUUUGAAACAAGGAAGUAACUUUUCUGCAAAAUUAUAGCCACAGUGUGCGUCUAUUGGUCUUCAAUCACGAUCUAUAGUGCAAGUCAUGUCGACCGAGUAGACAAUAUAAGAUGGGCGUUUACUCCACAAUGUUUAACUACUAGGCAGCUAUGAGGUAAAUGUAAGGAAUGGAAUGUCUGUUUAAGGGUCUGAUCUUACAGAUUGCAUAUAUAAACCAAACAAGAUGUUUGUAAUCUGUAAUUCUGAGGUUCUCCCCUUACUAUAAUGCUCAUGUGUGAUUUGUUGCAAUCUCAGUAAUGGCGUCACUGCUACACUCGUAAUUCGGAGAAAUUUCCUUUAUUUCUAUGAUUUACCAUUAGGCCUUAUGGUACCCUAUGUGUGUUACUCCAAUUUAAACCCCUCUCCCUCCUUACCUUCUGUACCCCUUUCCCCAAUAUUAUGUCGUUUUUUUUUUUUUUUAUGAUGACAAUAAAUAUUAACACAUGUUCCAAGUGACAAAAAAUAGACAAUCUGAAUGAACUAUGGUUUUAUUUCAGGUGCAGAGGGGUUUGCAGACACACAUUAUUCUGCCUUCUGAUGGUCGAUUCGUGAGUGGUGCUGCCCAGCAAUAUUUAGAUUUCAUACGCCCCUCACAUGAAAUAAGACGAUGAACCAAGGUGUGUUUCUGUGUGUGUUGGGGAGGAUGACGUUGGUUCCAAAAAUACCUCUGUGUAUUGACAAUAUGCAAAUGUGAAAUACGUCGUUUUGUUUUUUACUGUUUUCGAAAAGUGGCUUCUAGAAAAUAUGGCCGAUCUAGCAGUCCUGCGUGAUCAUUGUACAGCGCUGCGGAAUUUGUUGGCACUUUAUAAAUUAUAAUAACUUAUCAUGUGACUUUGCCUUUGCAACAUUAGUUCAGAUGAAAAUUUUAUUUAAUAGUUUGAUUUUAAUCCAAUGGCAAUAAUAAGAGUAUGUACAUUUUGUAAGACGCUGGAUAUAAAGGCUUGAUAAAAUUACGUGAGAACAGACGGGCCCCAGUAGUGUGUUGUCUGCAAGGCAUGUAGCCAUUGUCUCUGAGUGUUUGAAGAAGUGGCGGGCAGCAUUAAACAUGUAGCAACUCUGCCCCCUGGUGUACAGACCUAUAACGCAGUGCCUUGGAGGCACACAAAAUUGCAAAAAAUUAUUAUUUUUUACACCCUCGUUUUAUUGGCAUUUGAUCUUUCAAUCACUGACGGCAUAUUCUGUGAUUAGGGCAUGUUAAUCCCAGCUGGUUACGCAGCUUCUCUGUUGGGAAACCAGGGACAAAAGUAUGUAUUUCUAUUAAAAUAUAAAUUAAGCGAAUCUCAGUUCUCUGUGACAUAGAAGGUGCAGUGUCUGUUUAAGGGAGCGUCAGGAGCUGGUGGGAAUAAAGAUAAUAUAACAAAAUGUUGUAAUUCUGAGGAAUGUUACCCAGAAUCCCACAUUCUAUAGUUCAGCUACUGUCUGAAGCCGUGUAGUGAUUCUGUCAGUAAUGCUUAUUGUGUAAUAUGUAACAUUACCCCAAGAUAACGCAGUACAUGUGAUCCCACUGAAAUAGAUGAAAAUAAAGACAGCAGAAAUAUUUAUUUUUUAAAGGGGUAUAAAUGUAACAGUUGUUUAAUGUAGCAAUUAAAAAUGUCAUAAUUAAAUAUAGUUAUGAUGAUCUCUCAUUUUCAGCAAAUCACAAUGAUCUGCCUCUUCUGCAUUAAAUAACAUGUUUACAGAAUUGUUUUUACAAAUUUAAAGAGCUCACAUAACAUAUCCGAAGGCUUUCAAGUUAUUUACUAACAUGAGAAUUUCAAAUUUAACGUCCUUAAGUUACAAUAAGUGCAGGCUGUCACCCUCCAUUUGUGUCAAACUGCUUAAAUGGUGCGACACAUAACUGGGAGAAGAAGCCACGCGCAUGCUUGUCUGUAGUGGUUAUGGUACAUAGAGUGCCACUUUAACGCAGUGCCUGUAUAUUGAUAUCAAGUUCAACAAAAUUAGUAACUUCAUUUCACAAAAAGGUGCGCUGUACGUUUAUCCACCGUACCAAUCCAUUUAAGCCAUUCACUGCCAGAGGGGAUUUCAGUGCUCCCUGGUUCACUGCAGACCUUACCUUCGAGCAGUGAAAGUUUAACAUUUUUUUUAGACUACCAUUAAAAUAAAAAAUAAAAAAUAAAGUUUAGAAAACAAUGUAACUUUCUGUUCAGAUUUUGGUAUUCUUGAACAGCCAGAGGUAGGUCUUUUGGAAGACUGCUCUUCUCGUUCUGGUGAUGCGCAGGCAUGACCUGAAUUCUAAAAGCACUGCGAAUUCCUGGUGCGUCUGUUUUAUUAUGCAUGGUAGCACUCUCAAGGAACCGAAUGACUAAGCAAAACAAAGAGGUCUGUUCACUAAACAGAACUGUUGUGAGUUGACAGCCGACUUGUAAAAAAAUAUAGGCUAACAGAGCCAUUUUAGACAAAAUCUUAAACCCAGCCCGUUCUGAGAUUUUAUUAUUUUCUAUCUUGGCUCUGUAAGUGUACAUUGUCUGAGUCCCUUUCCAACUUGCCACAACUUGCUAUAUAAUCAAUAGACCCCAAAAUGUAUUCUAUGAAUCAUCUUGAAGGGACACUGCAGGAUGGACCCAAUUUUUUUACCGUGUUUCCCCGAAAAUAAGAGCUAAGAGGUGGUCUUAUAAUAAUCCCAUUAGGGCUUAUUUUCGAGGGAGGUCUUAUUUCGGGGGAAAACGUGUGCUAGAAAGUAGGAAUUCCCCUGAACAUAGACCCAAUUCAUUAGGGCAUGGAAUCCUGCAAAGCUAUGUUAGGGGAAACUUCCCCGAACAUAGAUUAGUUCACUUGCAAAUGGAAUCUUGCGUAUAUAUUUUGUGGGAAAUUCCCCGAACAUAGAUUAUCGAAUGACUAGGACUUAUUUUCAGGGUGGGGCUUAUAUUAGGAGCAAUUAAGCCCCCUUAAUUUCACGGAAACACAGUAGAUCUUUGACAGUAAUCUGUGACUAUCAGUAAAUGGGGGUUUAAAAAGAAUGCGUUAGUCAACAGGCCUUUAUUGCAGAAGUAUUUGGAUGGGUAAGGAGAAAGAUAAGAGAUAUCUCUUAGUGAGGGGUUGGACCUAGAACUUGAUAUUUGCUAAAGCUAUUAUUAUUCUGACAUUUCAAAAAUACCAACAACUUCCACAAAGCUGUUCAAUCGGGAUAGACACUACAGUAUAGGCAAACGAAUACAGGAAACCCUGCUGUGUGCUGAAACCUAGCAUUUACAGCCCCAAAUACUAAGCUAGAUUAAAACAGACUGCACCCAAUAAGAAACUACAUAAUGUUAUACAGAUAUAUACACACACAAUAUAUUGAGAUAUAGCAAUAAUAGAGAGUCCCAGCAGACAGAUGGGGAUCAUACCACCCAAGCUGCCAUCAUUGAGCAAAAGGUGCUCUUGAAAUUGUAAGUAGAUUUUAUGUAUUUUUAUUUUUUUUAAAGUACUUUUAUUUGAAACAGUGAGCACUAUAUCUCGUUUUCUUCCUUUCAUAUGCUGUUUACAUUGUGAACAUCUAAAGAGGACAGCUCCAGGUUUAUCCGUGAGCGGGGAUUGCCCUAUCUGAUGGCUAAAUAGAAGCUCUCCCCUUGUGAGUGUAUUUUAUCUUAAUUUUACCUAAAACAUUGUAUAUACUGGAUUACACUAUUGGUGGUUUCUUUUGUGUUUUAUUUCAUAUGAGACACCAAAAACAGAAUUCCUCAUCUGACUGACCUCCAAAAGGUUAUUAUCUCCAAAAAAUACUUUUUUUUUCUGCUGGGGCUGUUUAUUAUUGUUAUAUCUCAAUAUAUUUAUAUAUAAUAUUGUGUGUACAUAUAUAUCUGUAUGAGAUUAUGUAGUAUUUCUUAUUUGGCGCAGUCUGUAUUUUGUCCUUGUUCCUCUUGGGUUAUUGGGGUAUCCAAGUAACAGAUCUUAUUCUGCUGCCUUUGGAGUUAGCGCCGUAUCUCCCCUUCUUUUUAUUCUUGUUGUACUAAGCGAGAUUGCUAGUGAGCUUACAGUCUAAAGGAUAUAAGCAGAUAUGUGAAAGAAAAUAUCAUAAAAAACCAAAUAAAUACAUUACUUGUACACUAUUCCAAUCGCUAUGCACAUUUAAACAAUUGGAGGUAUUUGGCCACCUGCAACGUCAGGGCAAAUCCUCUUUCCGCUAAAAGAACGAGACAUAGAGGGGUAUUUUUGUAAACCACAGAAAAAGGAACACAUGGGGCGGGCGGCUUUACUGAAAUGCUAAUGAAUGGGCUGAAAUGGCUUGUAUUUCUUGCCUAGUGCAGUGUCCGAGGCAUGUGAAAUACCCCUCUCUGUCUCAUUAGAGACUAUACCUUAUGGCUGAAGGAAGCAAGGUGAAUUGUUAGUGUAGGAAUCACAUAAGAGGUUUGCCUUGAUGUGGCAGGUGAGCUUACACUUUAAUUGCCAUUGGAGUGAUGCUAAAAAAAACUGCAGUUAUAUAAAUGUUCAUAGGGAGAAACUUCACACACAGCGCCCCUCACACAUGCACAAACCGUACCCUCACACACUGCACCACUCACACACAGCGCCCCUCACACACAAACAACCGCACCCUCACACACUGCACCACUUACACACACAGCGCCCCUCACACACACACACAAACCGCACCUUCACACACUGCACCACUCACACACACACCACCCCUCACAUACACACAAAGCACACUCACACACACAGCGCCCCUCACACGCAAACAAACCGCACCCUCACACACUGCACCACUUACACACACAGCGCCCCUCACACACACACAAACCGCACCCUCACACACUGCACCACUCACACACACAGCGCCCUUACACACACACAACACCCCUCACAUACACACACAGCACACUCACACACUGCACCCCUAACACACACACACACACACAGCACCCUCACAUACAGCACCCUCUCUAACACACACACACACACAGCAUUCCUCACACACUGCACCCCUCACAUACACACACACACAGUACACCUCACACACUGUGCCCCUCACAUACACACACCGCACCCCUUACACACACACACAGCACCCUCAUACACUGCACCCCUCACAUACACUAUAACACAGCACCCUCUCUCACACACACACAGCACCCUUACACACAGCCCGGCCCUGGUAGCUGCCUAAGGAAGCUUUUGUCACUCAAUGUUCAGAGCAAAAAGCAGGGUAUAAAUAUCCCCUUUGGCAGCACUAGCUGGGGUUUAAUUUCUGGGAAUAACCCCAAUGUCAUAUCAGUUCAGCACCCUGUACUAGCCCCCACCUGUCUUGUAUUCCUUCCCCCGAAUUAGAAGGUACGACCCUGCUCUAUGUUCUUAGUCAGCACAAUCACCUGAGGCCCACUUCUACUACCCCAGAUGGGUCAAAGUAUCACCACAAUCAAAAUGUAAAUAUUUAAAAUCCUCUCAUGUAUAUUUUUAUUUUUCUCCACUAAGAGAAUGGCAAUUUUUUUGAAUAUCAAAGGUGGUUGCCGUGGGGUUUUGAAACUCACAAUGUUGUUAUGGAUAUGGCAGCUAUAUCAACAAUUUAUGUCACUCUAACUGUUGUUGCAUUAGACUGGGUACAUGUUUAUUCUGGGGUUUGGUGGAUCAGUGCAAUGUUGGACCCUUGGAUCCAGGCUGCAAUGUGUCUUCAGCCCGUCCUGAUACUAAUUAAAAUAGAGACUUAAUACAUGUUUAAUGUGUAGUUUUGGUUUAUUGGAUUUACGGUUUUAUGACCUCGAAUCUUUAACCAUUCCUUCUCUCGUUAUCCUGACCUCGACCUGACUGUCUAUUCUGUGUAUUUCAGUUAUCCUAGACCUCAGUCUGUCUCUCAUUCACUCUCUGUCUGCUUGCAGACAUUUUAUUUAUCUGUCUCAGGUACUAGCCAGGACACUCUAAGGACCGGUACGUGUUCCUUUACUGUUACCUUUAGGAUUCCAUGUUAGGGUAUCUCCAUUCCUGACAGCAGAGCCUUAUGGGAAAUAUAGUUGAAACAUAUAGUUGAGGUUCAUUGUAUUUAGAUGUCUAGUUAUCAAGCCUGUGACCCUGCACUAGCUGUAACUACAUUUCUCUAGAGGCUCAGUAUGCCUGGAAGCUGGCCGAGCCUCCUGGUAAAUGUAGUUCACAGACGUAUGUGCAGUUUCUGGGUUAGCCGUCACGCCAUCAUUUGUCUUGCGUGAAGUCUGGUUAUUAAGCCCAUGGCAGUGCUCUGCUGGCUGCGGACUAUUUAAUCAGUAUUCUCUAAUAAACAUCUUGUAAAUAGUAAAAGUCAAUGCAGGGUCCUCCUUCCAGAUCACAUUUUAUUACUGUAAAUAGUACGCAGAGUGGCCUCGGGUGACGUUUGGCAGGGAAUUAAUUUCUUUAUGGCUCACCGACUGUGAGCUGAACACUGUAAUUACAGGCCAUGCAGAGCAAUGUCUUCGAAAUGAUGAAGGGCUGUUUGUGUAAUGACCACACUAAGAAUUUCAAAUAGAUGAAAGCUAGCCUAAUCAUCCACUUCAUCGACUCCGGCAAAAUCACACAAUCUGGUGAAGGACAUUUAUAUAGGUCAACAAGAUCACAAAUGCAUAUAUUUACAUAUUACGUGAUUUAUAACUCAUUGCACGCUUUAUAGUACAUUUCUACACAUGGUAUCUAUGGAAAAUGUGUACAAAUGAAAUUUUCUGUAAAAUGUAAUCGCUUUUUAAUCUUUUUAUUGUGAGUUUUCAUAAAUAGAAGGUCACAUCAGGUGACAAAGGACAGCAGAUUACAGCGUCAUAAGAGGCCCAUUUUUGUAUCAUGUACUCUAUGGUUUAACAAUAAUUUGAUCAUUUUCAGUUUAGGGAUACAGCUGUCAUGCUGUUAAAUAUAUUCCACCUAUUGUGGAAAGGAGACAUCCAUUUCGGGGUACCCAGGUAACUGUCAAACUAUUUGAAAACAGUUUGACUAUUUACUGUUGGAUGGUGUCAGGGUCACUUGGCUCGUUAUUUUAAAUUCUCUUUGAAGUACCUACAAUUCACAUUGAAUGACCAUGUAAGUAGUGAAAGGGAAUCUCUCGCUUGUUUUUUUAUUUAGAAUUCAAUUUUUUUCAGUACAUCUCAUAACUGCCAUUUUCAUAUCUCUUUGUUUAGAAGCACUGCUUAUAUAACCAAAAACCAUGCAGGUUAGAGAAAGUGAUAGAAACAUAGAAUGUGAUGGCAGAUAAGAACCAUUUGGCCAUCUAGUCUGCCUAAUUUUCUAAAUAUUUUCAUUACUCCCUGGCCUUAUCUUAUAGUUAGGAUAGCCUUAUGCCUAUCCCACGCAUGCUUAAACUCCUUUACUGUGUUAACCUCAGCUGGAAGGCUAUUCCAUGCAUUCACUACCCUCUCAGUAAAGUAACACUUUCUAAAAUUAUUUUUAAAACCUUUGCCCCUCUAAUUUAAGACUAUGUCCUCUUGUUGUGGUAGUUUUUCUUCUAUUAAAUAUAGUCUGCUCCUUCAUUGUGUUGAUUCCCAUUAUGAUAGAAACCAUGUUCACACCAUUUGCAUGUUCACAAAUCCUGAAGUCAUCAGUAAGAACAUGGCAUCUCCAAAAAUUCUUAGACACUUUUAGACCUUUAAAUUGUGAAUGUGAUAGCUGAUAAGUGGUGGCUAUGACCAAAGAGGGUAAAAAUGGCCGCCUGCACAGAGCCAGGAAAUGCACUAAAAUGGGUAUUAACUGCAUGCAUUCCUAUAUUACAUGCACUCUUUUAUAUUAAAGGACCACUAUAGUGCCAGGAAAACAUACUCGUUUUCCUGGUACUAUAGUGCCCUGAGGGUGCCCCCACCCUCAGGGACCCCCUCCCGCCCGGCUCUGGAAAGGGGAAAGGGGUUUAAACUUACCUUUUUCCAGCGUUGGGCGGGGAGCUCUCCUCCUCAGUUCCUCCUCCUGGGCUGAAUGCGCACGCGCAGCAAGAGCUGCGCGCGCAUUCAGCCGGUCACAUAGGAAAGCAUUCAUAAUGCUUUCCUAUGGACGCUGGCGUGCUCUCACUGUGAAAAUCACAGUGAGAAGCACGCAAGCGCCUCUAGUGGCUGUCAAUGAGACAGCCACUAGAGGAAAUAGGGGAAGGCUUAACCCAUUCAUAAACAUAGCAGUUUCUCUGAAACUGCUAUGUUUAUGAAAAAAUGGGUUAAACCUAGCUGGACCUGGCACCCAGACCACUUCAUUAAGCUGAAGUGGUCUGGGUGCCUAGAGUGGUCCUUUAAGCAAUAAUAAAACAUGUUGGCUCUUUUCCUUUAACUACUGUGCAAAAUGCUCUUUUGGGUUUGACUAAACAGCUUUCAGUACCAACUUGCCAAUUGUAUCCUCAUGAUGCAAAUCAGCUUUCAGUUCAUGAGAAUUUGCUGUUUAUUAAAUACACCUUAUUUAAUUAUUCCCGAUUCUAGCCAUUGUUGAUGCUAAAGAAGUGGCCUUUGAUCCGGCAUUUCCAACUGUUGAAGAUUUCCCUGUGCAAAGGCCUACAAGCUAGUUCUCAUAGCUUUUCACACUGGAAAAAUAUAUGUUGGAAUUCGGUUGAGUUUCUGAACAAAAAGCCAGCUGUGUGUGUGAAUGGCAGCGGGAAUUCUGAAACUCCUUUAAUACAGAAUUGAUAAACUUCUCACGUAAUUCAUGCAUAACUGACCCCCCACAACACAAUGACAAAAAAAAACCUCUUUGUGAUCAGGAAGCAUAGAAUUCAGGCAUCAAAUAUUUUGUGGCUGAUUGGCACACCUUACAGUGAAAAUAAAGAAAUAUUCUGCGUUGUUUGCGUGUCAUAAUGACAACAUUACAAAAAGGAAUCAUAAAUAAAAUAACUAACAUUAAUUAUUAGAAUGAAUUAUAAAUAAGUUACUGAUCAGACGGUGUACUCUGGGUAAUUGCAGUAGAGACAGAGUUGGUGGCUAUUUUUUCUGGUUAGUGACUUGCCAGGUAAUAGUCCACCUUUUUAUAAAACGUGUCACAUGUAACCCUGGCAAAGGACCUAGGGACUCGUGGCACCAUAACCACUGCAAUGUCGUGUUGUGGUUAUAGUGCUUAAAGUGUCCUUUUUUCUAUUUGUAAUCUCCAAUUUCCUCUUAAAAAAGCUGCACGUUUCCACCGUGACUGAAGCCAGGUAAUUGUAAUGCGUGUCUCUUGUGUAUCUGUUAACGUAAUGCUACAGAAAAUAUUUUCGGUUCGGUACUGGAAGGGUUAAUGCAUUUAUUAUUCCCUCUCUUCGAUCUGCACUGAAACCCUUGUGCUUUCUCACCACCCACACUGGUGGCGUAAUUAAAGUGUUCUAUGCUUAGAUGAGUGAGUCAUUACUGGGUGUCAAUAAGUACUAACGUUUCUAAGCAAUAAGAUUCUCUAAAACAUACUGAAAAUCGUGGCUGAACGCAGCAUCAGGUGUUAGUGACAAGAAAAUCGCAGAAUUGCAUUUCUAUCAUCACAGAGUCCUUUAUUACUCUAUCAUCUGCUUGUUAUUCUUGUAUCUCUGUUCCAAAUAUAUCAUAUAUCCCAAGUGUUCCAAGUUAGGAAUUGCAGUCCUGAUUUUUUGCCGGUUUUAUCUAAAAUUUCCUAAAGCUUUGCCUCAUCCCUUCACACAAGACUGUAAUUAUAUUAGUCAUUAGAAAUGGUAAGGAAUGGCAAAGAAAAUCACGAAACCGUGUGUGUGGAUUAAAAUUCUAUACUCAGUGGUACUUUAGAGGUACACUCUAGGCACCAUAACCACUUCAUCUAAUUGAAUGGUUAAGGUGCCAGGAGUCCAAUGUUACCCUUCCAAUGUUAAGUGAUAAACAGUUAAACAGAGAAUGAAGGUCCCUGUCUGCCAUUGGGUCUUCCCUCACCCCCACUGAACGUGUAAUGCAACAUUUGCGAUACCAAACCAAAACAGCAGAGGGGGGCAAUGCAGCAAUCACCACUGCAUUCAAAAUGGGUUUAACACUAAACAGUGGUACAACACCAAGGGUGUCUAGGCACCAUAACUACUUUAAUAAGAGGAAGUGAUUAUGGUACCUAGAGUGUUUCUCUGAAAACAGCCAGGGAUUUUACCAAAAUAGUCAAGUAAGCCAUCUUCAUGUGAGAUAGUAAUACUGAACAUUUGUUUCUUAGAAUUUUGUAAUAAACAUAUGUGUAACAGCUGUAAAUAUUUAAAGCUUUGGCGCUCUUCUGACCUAAUUAAGAGUCGAAAUGUUUUACUGUUUGAAGCGCUCUGUUAAUUUGUUAACGUUCUUGUGGGAACCAAAAUCUGUGUGGUUUUUGUGUGUGAACAAAGCAGGGGCAUGUCCCCUCCCACAGGCUAGCAGAGGAUUUUGAGAUUUUUAUUUUACCCCAAACUCAGCACGCAGUUUGACACCGGCAGAAUUAAGCAUAUUGAGAAGUCCUGAUCACUGUACUCUGCCUGGUGGAACAUGGCGUCCGUAUAACUUUCCAGAGCUGGAAAUGGCCUUUGAGACCUGAAUUCAUAAGAUAUAAACUUUCAUACAAUAUAAGAUUGUGGAUUCCAGUCCAUUUACUGUUACAUUUGUAAAUUAGCAAAGGACAAAAUGGUAAUAAUAAGAUGUGGUGGACCACGGAGCCUAUUCACUUGCCCAUUUAGACAAUCAAGUGUCUCCGAUAGAAUCACACAAGCAUUAUAAACAUUCAAAGAUUUGGAUGACUUUCCAUACUGCUAAGAACGUACAUAAUACGCGCUAUCCCAGAACUAACUGUCGUAGCCUCAAUGAUAGCAUUGGAGAGAAAAUAUAUAUUUUUAAAUCGCAUUCAAGAUUUAAUUAGAUUUACAAACUCAGUUAAAGACAAAACUUGAAUUUGUAUUGGCCUGGUCGCGAUGCAGGAGGAGUGCAUUGUGUUUCCUAUGCCAGGGGUAGUUUAACAAUCCACGAAUAGCAGCCAAGCCUUGAGCUAUGUCUGCCCUCUAGUCAUCUUAAGAAUGGUCCAGAACAGUAAGAGGACUAUGGCACAAUAUCCUCAAAUCAGAGACCCAGGCUCAAACACAAUGAAACUUGUUGAGUAGCUGGACUGGGCAGCUAUUGGAAGAAGGGUGGUAAUGCCAGCCAGAUCAGAAAAUGGAUAACGGGAAUAAAUAUUGUAAGAUUAUGGGGAAUGAACAUUCAAUGCAACUUUCCACCACGGUAAAAUGUUCGGAAAAUCGUUUGCGGUGGGAUGUUGGUCCAUUUCCUUUGUACAUACAGCUCUUUGAGGGAGAUCUGUUAAGGCAAACUGGGGCUAUUCUAGACACAAAUUGGCAAAUGUUAUGGAACAUUCUAUUGUUUUCCACUUAUUUUUGCAGUAACAGAUCGGCCCCAGACUACUUCUGUGAUACUCGGUGCUUGGAAGGAUGAUACGCAGUGCUGGUCGACUGUGGACAUAACACAGCUCUACAAUGGGUGAACGAGAGAGGCAAGUCAAUUCAGGGGGGUAACUAGAGGGAACUAAUCUCUUUAAACUUCCUAUUUCUAAAGGGUAAUCCUGAUGUGAACUCCUUGUUCACUAUGCCUACAAGAGCAUCUUCUGAACCUCAUGUAUGAGAGAUAUAGAUUGAAUAGGGAUGAUAUAUGAUGCAUACAGUGGAGACCUGCCUGGGCAGUUUGGGAUUUGGAUAAGUGCGAACAAAUUAAAUGAUUAAUUUAGGAUUCCUCCUGUAACAGCACAAGUGAGCUAAAUUUAAGAGAGCUCCUGAGUGAGAACCAAUGAUAGGGCAAACGAUUAAAUGGUUAAUCCAACAUCCAUGACCUCAUCUGCUUUUUGAAGUGGUUGUAGUGGUAGGAGUCCGACUGGGCAGUGUUUCUACGUGAA